CCUACGGGUGGCUGCAGUGGGGAAUAUUGGACAAUGGGCGAAAGCCUGAUCCAGCCAUGCCGCGUGUGUGAAGAAGGCCUUCGGGUUGUAAAGCACUUUCAGUGGGGAAGAAAGCCUUGGGGCUAAUACCCUCGAGGAAGGACAUCACCCACAGAAGAAGCACCGGCUAACUCCGUGCCAGCAGCCGCGGUAAUACGGAGGGUGCGAGCGUUAAUCGGAAUUACUGGGCGUAAAGCGCGCGUAGGCGGUCUGAUAAGCCGGUUGUGAAAGCCCCGGGCUCAACCUGGGAACGGCAUCCGGAUUGAAAGGAGAGAGGAAGGGAGAGGGGGGUAGAAUCCGAGGGGGAGCAGUGAAAGGCGGAGAGACGGGGAGGAAGAAGAGUGGAGAAGGGGGCCUACUGGGUAAACAGUGACGCGGGGGUACGAAAGAUUGAGGAGAAAACAGGAUUAGAUACCCCAGUAGUC
This 464-nucleotide ribosomal RNA is filed under the name Vreelandella stevensii. RNAcentral's name for it is "partial 16S ribosomal RNA". It matches the Rfam family "Bacterial small subunit ribosomal RNA", at positions 338 to 795 of the family's 1533-position model. The record is from RNAcentral. Lineage: Bacteria; Pseudomonadati; Pseudomonadota; Gammaproteobacteria; Oceanospirillales; Halomonadaceae.